Molecule: ribosomal RNA, 572 nt
Filed under: Chaetomium globosum
Lineage: Eukaryota; Fungi; Ascomycota; Sordariomycetes; Sordariales; Chaetomiaceae
Description: eukaryotic LSU rRNA
Rfam family: 5.8S ribosomal RNA (bases 208-361)
Source: RNAcentral
UGUCUCGUUGGUGACCAGCGGAGGGAUCAUUACAGAGUUGCAAAACUCCCUAAACCAUUGUGAACGUUACCUAAACCGUUGCUUCGGCGGGCGGCCCCGGGGUUUACCCCCCGGGCGCCCCUGGGCCCCACCGCGGGCGCCCGCCGGAGGUCACCAAACUCUUGAUAAUUUAUGGCCUCUCUGAGUCUUCUGUACUGAAUAAGUCAAAACUUUCAACAACGGAUCUCUUGGUUCUGGCAUCGAUGAAGAACGCAGCGAAAUGCGAUAAGUAAUGUGAAUUGCAGAAUUCAGUGAAUCAUCGAAUCUUUGAACGCACAUUGCGCCCGCCAGUAUUCUGGCGGGCAUGCCUGUUCGAGCGUCAUUUCAACCAUCAAGCCCCGGGCUUGUGUUGGGGACCUGCGGCUGCCGCAGGCCCUGAAAAGCAGUGGCGGGCUCGCUGUCACACCGAGCGUAGUAGCAUACAUCUCGCUCUGGGCGUGCUGCGGGUUCCGGCCGUUAAACCACCUUUUAACCCAAGGUUGACCUCGGAUCAGGUAGGAAGACCGACUGAACUUAAGCAUAUCAUAAAGGCG